This is a long non-coding RNA of Phlebotomus papatasi, 507 nucleotides long. RefSeq lists it as uncharacterized. The transcript is spliced from 4 exons. Lineage: Eukaryota; Metazoa; Arthropoda; Insecta; Diptera; Psychodidae. The record is from RefSeq and is a predicted model, not a curated record.
UGCAAAUCUAUUUGAAGUCAAAUGAAGUGGUUACUGAUAGUGAAUUUUGUGUUGUUACUUUUGUUGUUUGCUGAGGGAAGUCCGCGCCCGGACCCGCAUCCAGAUCCCAUGAUGGCUGAAUAUCCUCCUGUUAAUCCUCCACCCUUCUACACUUCUUAUGGUUACUAACAAUGGCCAGGGCUUUCGAUCAUAUUGGACAACAAAGAAUACGGUUGAGAUUCUCCUGUUUAUUGUCCCGACUUCAUCCCCUGUUGCUCACCAACAUUAAGAAUUCAUUGCUGAUAUUCAACACAGUUAUCGAGGGUCUUUCUCGUCUACAAACAAUAGCCUAAACUUCUUCCAAUAGCUACCAGUCAACUUUAUAGAUUCUUCAGCUUAUUUUAUAUAAUUUUCUAUUUGAGAAUGAUAUAAUGGAUUCUUUUAAUAAAAAUAAAAUUGGUUUUGUAUUGGCAAGCAUUAUGAAAUAAAAGUAGAAGAAUAAAAGAACUUUAGACAAAAAAGACAAAA